GUACACAGUUCGUGAGACCAUGUAAAAUGCCUGAAAACUGGCUUAAAAAUAGGCAUGAAACAUAUUUGACAGAUAUUUGAUAUCCAUUUUCUUUCAACAUUCUGCAAGCAUUUUUAACGGGUCUAUUUUUCGAGCAUUUUUCAGACAUUUUUCACGAGCUUGUA
Molecule: long non-coding RNA, 164 nt
Organism: Bradysia coprophila
Lineage: Eukaryota; Metazoa; Arthropoda; Insecta; Diptera; Sciaridae
Source: RefSeq, a predicted model, not a curated record